CCUACUCUACCAUAAAAAAUAACAUCUUACUAUGGUCAGGACGUGACAGUACGUCCUGACCCCAAAGGUGCGGACUCCGACCGUACCUAAACAAAACAACAAACCCCCCCCCCCCAAAAAAAAAACACAAAAGGGAGGGUAGGGUGGGUAACUCCUGUCUAUGGCAGCUCUAGUGCAGUCCACAUAACCUUAUCCUCCAGCGGAUCCUCCAGCAGAGGAGGUGGCUCCGGUUCAGGGCGUAACCCCCGCUCCACCCGCUGAUCCCUCUGCUUCAGUACCACCGGACCGUGGAUCGUCAUCGGAGGAACCGGACAGUAGAUCAUCACUGGAGGCUCUGUGCCGCAGACCGCCGCUGGAGGUUCUGGGCUGCAGACCACCGCUGGAGGUUUUGGGCUGCAGACCACCGCUGGAGGUUCUGGGCUGCAGACCGCCGCUGGAGGUUCUGGGCUGCAGGCCGUCGCUGAAGGUUCUGGGCUGCAGGCCGUCACUGAAGGUUCCGGGCUGCAGGCCGUCUCAGGAGGUUCCGGGCUGCAGGCCGUCUCAGGAGGCUCCGGACUGGGGAGCGUUGCUGGAGGCUCCGGACAGGGGACCGUCGCUGUAGGUUCCGGACUGGGGACCGUCGCUGCAGGCUCCGUGCCAUGGAUCAUCACUACAGGUUCCGCGCCAUGGAUCAUCACUGGAGGCUUUGUGCCAUGGAUCAUCACUCAACAUAGAAAUUGGGGUGAAAAAGGGGGUAAAAUAAAUAAGAAAAAAAAAAACAAAAAAAAAUAAUAAUAGUGGUUAUGUCCAAAAUGGUACCCUAUUCACAAUUUAAUGCACUACUUUAGACCAAGGGCCCUAGUGCACUAAAUAUGGAAUAGGGUGCAAUUUGGGACGAACAUUGACGCAAUACAGCUUCCCUGCCCUGGUGUUGAAACCAUGGAUUUGAACAAACAGUAUCGCUCACAGGCCAUUUGUAAUUGUAAUCAUUAAAGCAUGCAGAUACUUGGAGGUUAGUAAGACUUGUUACAUUGGUGUAUCUUUUACCUCAGUCUUGUUCAUUCCAUGGAAUUGCAUCGAAAUAAAAAUGUGUUUUUUAUUGAAACAUUUCAAUGUUUGACGAGUUAGUCAUCUUAUAUCUUGAGGGAACUAAUAUGUUUCAUGUAGCAAACACAUCUUGUGGGUUCUUUUCAUUACUCUGUACAAUCCAAAGCUAACAUUUCACAGGGAAAGCAAACAUACUAGAUAUUGGCUGGCUGAUUCCAUGGAACUUGAUAACUGGGCCUGUUUUCACAAAGCAUCUCAGAGUAGGAGUACCGAUCUAGAAUCAGAGGUCCCCCUGUCCAUAUAAUAUUACUUAUUAUGAUUUAAAAGGCUAAACUGAUAUUUUAUCAGCACUCCUACUCAGAUACUCUUGAUGAAUAUGGGCCCUGGUGUGUUGUGAGAAAAGGUCAAUAGAGAAACAAAACAAACAGAAAUUUGGCAAAGGUUGGAAAGUGUGUCAAGCAGCAUCUUUUGAAAGAUUUUGAAUAAACAGAUUAGAGUGUUAUGUACAACAAGGGGAAAAGUGUGUCACAUGUCAUCUUUGAAUGGAUUUGAACACAUUGUGAUGUUAUUUAGAGCAGAGAGGAGUAGGGUUUGAGAGGAGGGACAAAUGAGAGGAGUAGGGUUUGAUUCACUCAUAUAACAAUACUUUUACAGUCACCAUCCAGCCAUUGGAAAAUCAUUAAGAAUGGAAGAUGGCUAUUCUUUCAAGUGUUGACACUUCCUCCACAGAUUGAAUCAAAUGUGAUUUUUGGCAAGAGAUGGCCUCAGCUGGUCAUAGCUGGCCUCAUCUGUCAUUAUGUUUGCCUGACUCUGCGAUAUCCCAGUCACCAUCCAGCAUUGGGUAUCCCAGUCACCAUCCAGCAUUGGGAAUCCCAGUCAUCAUCCAGCAUCGGGAAUCCCAGUCACCAUCCAGCAUUGGGAAAUCAUGAACAAGACUAGCCAAGAUGUGUUCAAAUGUUGACACUUGCCUUGCACAUUCUGUCAAGAAUCUGGCCUGAGAUCAAUCAAACUGCUUCAGCUGCAUGGUCACAGCUGGUCUCAUCUGUCAUGUUGUUAUGUUUACAUUUGAGUCAUUUAGCAGAUGCUGUUAUUCAGAGCAACUUACAGUUAGUGCAUCUAUCUUAAGGUAGCUAGGUGAAAAAUCACACAUCAGUUAUGGUAAAUGCAUUAUUUCUCAAUAAAGCAGCUAUAAGCAAAGUCCAACAUUGGAUAUUUCUAGUAAGAAAAGACAAGUGUUAGUGCAGAGAUGGCAACAGUGAGAGUAUUUCUUAUCUCAAGUGCACAUGAUCUCAAGAGGAGUAGUGCACGUGACUGAUAAGUUGGCCAGAUCACAGCAUGAUUUUGAAAGUGAUCAUAUUUGUAAACGGCCAGAACGUCCACCCACAAAACGAAAUUAGUCAUAAACCCCAAGAAAUCAUGGCACCUGAUCAAAGGGAUUAGGGAUCUUGUAAUUGUUUUAUUUUUGGAAGUAUAGGGUCCGUCCCAAAUGGCACCCUACACGCUACAUAGUGCACUACUUUUGACCAGAUCCCUAUGGGACUAUGUGCACUACUGUACAUAGGGAAUAGUGUGCGAUUGAGAUGUAGACAGUCUCUCAUGACAGCCUUUAAGUUAAAAUGUUAAACAUUAAUCAAAUAGUUCCGAUUUGGUUCUGGGUUUAGAAAUGAGCUGAAGUACAAUUUAUGAGGUAAAAAGAAAAACAUUGCAUUCAAGUUCAUGUUCAAGUUUUAUUGUCACAUGCACAAGUACAGUGCAAUGUUUAACUUGUGAGCUCUACCCAAUAGUGCAGUAAUCAAUAUCUAAAAUGGUUUAACUAAUAACAAAGUAUAUAAUAAAAAACACAAUAAAUAAGAGAGGAAGCUAUAGACAGGGUCAGUGCCAAUACCAAUUUUACAAUGUGCAGGGAUACUGGAGUAAUUUGAGGUAGCUAUGUAACAUGUAGGUAGGGAUUAGGAUAAAAUGACUGAUAUCAGGGUAAAUAAUAAUAAUAAAAGUUAACAGUAUUGCAGCAGGGUGUGUGUGUACAAGAGUGUCAAUGUAGAAGUGAUCGGCGGAUAUACAAUACAUGUAAACAGGGCUGAAAAGUGACUGGUAGCAGGAAUAUACUGUAUAAGUACUUAUGGUAAUAUAUUAAUGGCAAUAUAUACAGUUGAAGUCGGAAGUUUACAUACACUUAGGUUAGCUUGUUAACAAACUAUAGUUUUGGCAAGUCGGUUAGGACAUCUACUUUGUGCAUGACACAAGUCAUUUUUCCAACAAUUGUUUACAGACAUUAUUUCACUUAUAAUUCACUGUAUCACAAUUCCAGUGGGUCAGAAGUUUACAUACACUAAGUUGACUGUGCCUUUAAACAG
Molecule: long non-coding RNA, 3380 nt
Filed under: Salmo salar (Atlantic salmon)
Lineage: Eukaryota; Metazoa; Chordata; Actinopteri; Salmoniformes; Salmonidae
Description: lncRNA (ENSSSAG00000086959.1)
Source: RNAcentral